GUAUAGUUAAGUGACUAAGCGUACAAGGUGGAUGCCUUGGCAAUCAGAGGCGAAGAAGGACGUGCUAAUCUGCGAAAAGCUUGGAUGAGUCGAUAAGAGGCGUUUAAUCCAAGAUAUCCGAAUGGGGAAACCCAGUAGAUGAAGAAUCUACUAUCAACAAGUGAAUUCAUAGCUUGUUGAGGCAAACCGGGAGAACUGAAACAUCUAAGUACCCCGAGGAAAAGAAAUCAACCGAGAUUUCGUCAGUAGUGGCGAGCGAAAGCGAAAGAGCCAGUAAGUGAUAGCAGUAUAGUUAGGAGAAUGUGUUGGGAAGCACAAUCAAAGAGGGUGAUAAUCCCGUAUCUAAAAACUAUAUUGUGGUACUAAGCUAACGAGAAGUAGGGCGGGACACGUGAUAUCCUGUUUGAAGAAGGGGGGCCCAUCCUCCAAGGCUAAAUACUCCUGAUUGACCGAUAGUGAACCAGUACUGUGAAGGAAAGGCGAAAAGAACCCCGGUGAGGGGAGUGAAAUAGAACCUGAAACCUUGUACGUACAAGCAGUGGGAGCGAGGGCAACCUUGUGACUGCGUACCUUUUGUAUAAUGGGUCAGCGACUUAUAUUUUGUAGCGAGGUUAACCGAAUAGGGGAGCCGAAGGGAAACCGAGUCUUAACUGGGCGAAUAGUUGCAAGGUAUAGACCCGAAACCCGGUGAUCUAGCCAUGGGCAGGUUGAAGGUUGGGUAACACUAACUGGAGGACCGAACCGACUAAUGUUGAAAAAUUAGCGGAUGACUUGUGGCUGGGGGUGAAAGGCCAAUCAAACCGGGAGAUAGCUGGUUCUCCCCGAAAUCUAUUUAGGUAGAGCCUUGAGGUGACACCUUUGGGGGUAGAGCACUGUUUCGGCUAGGGGUCCAUCCCGGAUUACCAACCCGAUGCAAACUACGAAUACCAAAGAGUGAUACUCAGGAGACACACGGCGGGUGCUAACGUCCGUCGUGGAGAGGGAAACAACCCAGACCGCCAGCUAAGGUCCCCAAGUCUAUAUUAAGUGGGAAACGAAGUGGGAAGGCUUAGACAGCUAGGAUGUUGGCUUAGAAGCAGCCAUCAUUUAAAGAAAGCGUAAUAGCUCACUAGUCGAGUCGGCCUGCGCGGAAGAUGUAACGGGGCUGAAAUAUAGCACCGAAGCUGCGGCAUCAGAAUUUAUUCUGUUGGGUAGGGGAGCGUUGUGUAAGCGGAAGAAGGUUGAUCGAGAGGUGGGCUGGACGUAUCACAAGUGCGAAUGCUGACAUAAGUAACGAUAAAACGGGUGAAAAACCCGUUCGCCGGAAGACCAAGGGUUCCUGUCCAACGUUAAUCGGGGCAGGGUGAGUCGGCUCCUAAGGCGAGGCUGAAAAGCGUAGUCGAUGGGAAACAGGUUAAUAUUCCUGUACUUGGUAAAGCUGCGAUGUGGGGACGGAGUAGGUUAGGUUAUCGCACUGUUGGAUAUGUGCGUUUAAGUUGGUAGGUGGGAAGUUUAGGCAAAUCCGGACUUCCUUAACACAGAGAGAUGAUGACGAGGCUCUACGGAGCUGAAGUAACUGAUACCACACUUCCAGGAAAAGCCACUAAGCGAAAGGCUUUACUAAACCGUACUGAAAACCGACACAGGUGGUCAGGUAGAGAAUACUCAGGCGCUUGAGAGAACUCGGGUGAAGGAACUAGGCAAAAUAGCACCGUAACUUCGGGAGAAGGUGCGCCGGCGUAGAUUGUAAGGGCUAGCCCCUGAAGGUUGAACCGGUCGAAGAUACCAGCUGGCUGCAACUGUUUAUUAAAAACACAGCACUCUGCAAACACGAAAGUGGAGGUAUAGGGUGUGAUGCCUGCCCGGUGCUGGAAGGUUAAUUGAUGGUGUCAUCGAAAGAGAAGCACCUGAUCGAAGCCCCAGUAAACGGCGGCCGUAACUAUAACGGUCCUAAGGUAGCGAAAUUCCUUGUCGGGUAAGUUCCGACCUGCACGAAUGGCAUAAUGAUGGCCAGGCUGUCUCCACCCGAGACUCAGUGAAAUUGAAAUCGCCGUGAAGAUGCGGUGUACCCGCGGCUAGACGGAAAGACCCCGUGAACCUUUACUAUAGCUUGACACUGAACAUUGAAUUUUGAUGUGUAGGAUAGGUGGGAGACUUAGAAGCAGUCACGCCAGUGAUUGUGGAGUCAUCCUUGAAAUACCACCCUUUAACGUUUGAUGUUCUAACGAAGAUUGCGGAACGCGGUCUCGGACAGUGUCUGGUGGGUAGUUUGACUGGGGCGGUCUCCUCCCAAAGCGUAACGGAGGAGCACGAAGGUUUGCUAAUCACGGUCGGACAUCGUGAGGUUAGUGCAAUGGUAUAAGCAAGCUUAACUGCGAGACAGACAAGUCGAGCAGGUACGAAAGUAGGUCAUAGUGAUCCGGUGGUUCUGAAUGGAAGGGCCAUCGCUCAACGGAUAAAAGGUACUCCGGGGAUAACAGGCUGAUACCGCCCAAGAGUUCAUAUCGACGGCGGUGUUUGGCACCUCGAUGUCGGCUCAUCACAUCCUGGGGCUGAAGUAGGUCCCAAGGGUAUGGCUGUUCGCCAUUUAAAGUGGUACGCGAGCUGGGUUUAGAACGUCGUGAGACAGUUCGGUCCCUAUCUGCCGUGGGCGUAGGAGAAUUGGUUGGGGCUGCUCCUAGUACGAGAGGACCGGAGUGGACGCACCACUGGUGUUCCGGUUGUGUCGCCAGACGCAUUGCCGGGUAGCUAAGUGCGGAAGAGAUAAGUGCUGAAAGCAUCUAAGCACGAAACUUGCCAAGAGAUGAGUUCUCCCAAUCUAAGAGAUAGUAAGGGUUGUUGUAGACUACGACGUAGAUAGGUCUGGUGUGUAAGUGUAGUGAUACAUUGAGCUAACAGAUACUAAUUGCCCGAGAGGCUUA
RNAcentral lists this ribosomal RNA (2900 nucleotides) under Haemophilus influenzae 22.1-21. Its description in RNAcentral is "bacterial LSU rRNA". It matches the Rfam family "Bacterial large subunit ribosomal RNA". The record is from RNAcentral. Lineage: Bacteria; Pseudomonadati; Pseudomonadota; Gammaproteobacteria; Pasteurellales; Pasteurellaceae.